CACCACCACAUCACCACUGCACUAGCACACACACCACCAUCAUCACAUCACCACUGCACUAGCACACACACCACCACCACCACAUCACCACUGCACUAGUACACACACCACCACCAUCACAUCACCACUGCACUAGUACACACACCAUCACCAUCACAUCACCACUGCACUAGUACACACACCAUCACCACCACAUCACCACUGCACUAAUACACACACCAUCACCACAUCACCACUGCACUAGCACACACACCACCAUCACCACAUCACCACUGCACUAGUACACACACCACCACCACCACAUCACCACUGCACCAGUACACACACC
This 328-nucleotide long non-coding RNA is filed under the name Homo sapiens (human). Its description in RNAcentral is "non-protein coding lnc-FRG1-8:2". The record is from RNAcentral. Lineage: Eukaryota; Metazoa; Chordata; Mammalia; Primates; Hominidae.